ACUUAGAGUUUGAUCAUGGCUCAGGACGAACGCUGGCGGCGUGCUUAACACAUGCAAGUCGAACGAGGCCCUGCCUUCGGGCAGGUGACCUAGUGGCGAACGGGUGAGUAACACGUGGGCAACCUACCCUCAGCUCUGGGAUAACCCCGGGAAACCGGAGCUAAUACCGGAUACGACCUGGAAGGACAUCCUUCUUGGUGGAAAGUUUUUCGGCUGAGGAUGGGCCCGCGGCCUAUCAGCUUGUUGGUGGGGUAAUGGCCCACCAAGGCGACGACGGGUAGCCGGCCUGAGAGGGCGAUCGGCCACACUGGGACUGAGACACGGCCCAGACUCCUACGGGAGGCAGCAGUGGGGAAUAUUGCGCAAUGGGCGAAAGCCUGACGCAGCCACGCCGCGUGAGUGAAGAAGGCCUUCGGGUUGUAAAGCUCUGUCGGGCGGGACGAAUAGUCUCGGUGUUAACAGCAUCGAGAUCUGACGGUACCGCCAAAGGAAGCACCGGCUAACUUCGUGCCAGCAGCCGCGGUACGCC
This 529-nucleotide ribosomal RNA is filed under the name uncultured bacterium. RNAcentral's name for it is "bacterial SSU rRNA". It matches the Rfam family "Bacterial small subunit ribosomal RNA", at positions 1 to 526 of the family's 1533-position model. The record is from RNAcentral.